CCAUAAUUGAAAAAUAAACAAACUAUUACAAGAAGGCUCCUAUGAUAUUAUGUUUGCAGUGUCUUCCUUAUCAAUCAAGCUAUUCGUGUCAACGUAUUUCGACAGUAAUGGGGCGCUUUAAUCGGUUUGUUAUUAAGGUGGUCGACAUGCUAUAGGUAGCAGUGUGUUAAUACCUAUAUAUUGUAAAUACCAACCCAUUUUAACCAACUGUGCGUUUAAUUCAAACGAAACGUUAAUUAUCAUUGAGAGAAGGGAUUUUAACAGACGACAGGAGAAGUGACCGAUUACAACGAGACAUUUGAUUGGUUGAAGUGCUCUUUCGGUUGAUCUUUGACCUCUUGUCGUUUUUUUUUUAUCAUUCAUUUAUUUUUUCAAACGUUUGCACCUGUCCAAUGAUACACAUAUCUUUCGAAUUUAGUAGUAUAUUGAAUGUAGAAGUCCCACGCAACAAAACCGAGCUGUGGAGCAUUUAAAGGAUUAAUUAAAUUUAUUUCGAUGGAUGUUUCGUUGCAGAACCUUUAAAACAGUGGCAUAUUUUCAAGUUAUAAUGUUUUAACUUUAAAGUGAUAUUUAAAAAAAAGAAGAAGAAAUGUGAAUUUUAUUUAAAUUAACUUGGGAUGUUUAUUUUCUCAUUACAAUGUUGGAUUAAUUGUUAACUAUGAUGAUUCAAGAGAUAAUUUCCACAGUAUUGUUACUAGCUGUGAUAAAGGUAUGGUAAAAUUUACA
Molecule: long non-coding RNA, 726 nt
Filed under: Mytilus galloprovincialis (Mediterranean mussel)
Lineage: Eukaryota; Metazoa; Mollusca; Bivalvia; Mytilida; Mytilidae
Source: RNAcentral